UACGAAGGGGGCUAGCGUUGUUCGGAAUUACUGGGCGUAAAGCGCACGUAGGCGGAUAUUUAAGUCAGGGGUGAAAUCCCAGAGCUCAACUCUGGAACUGCCUUUGAUACUGGGUAUCUCGAGUAUGGAAGAGGUAAGUGGAAUUCCGAGUGUAGAGGUGAAAUUCGUAGAUAUUCGGAGGAACACCAGUGGCGAAGGCGGCUUACUGGUCCAUUACUGACGCUGAGGUGCGAAAGCGUGGGGAGCAAACAGG
Molecule: ribosomal RNA, 253 nt
Filed under: uncultured bacterium
Lineage: Bacteria
Description: partial 16S ribosomal RNA
Rfam family: Bacterial small subunit ribosomal RNA
Source: RNAcentral